Molecule: long non-coding RNA, 808 nt
Organism: Hevea brasiliensis (rubber tree)
Lineage: Eukaryota; Viridiplantae; Streptophyta; Magnoliopsida; Malpighiales; Euphorbiaceae
Exons: 2
Source: RefSeq, a predicted model, not a curated record
AUGGGUUGAUUGAAAAAAUGAAAAGAGAAAAGGUUGAUAAAUUGUUUGCAUAGAGGAAAAUGAAGAAAGAGAAAAAAAAAUUUUUGAUUUUCCUAAAUUUGUUUGUUUGGAAUCAAAUAGAUUUUCCUAAAAAUCUAUGUUCUCUUUCAUUUCCCCUUCACAGUUAAGCAUCCUGUGACGGUGUGCAGUGCGAAGGAGAGGAGGAGAAUGAACCCAGAGACGAAGUUGAAUGCGAUAAGAUCAGGGAUCGUGGUGAUCGGCGCCUUAGCUUUCGGCCAUCUGACUCUAGAAAAGUUGCCCGUACAGAGUCAUAAAAUACUCUUAACUCAUGGCUCCCAGUAAAUCUCAGAUUGAUAAUCAUGAACAUAGACGAGAUGAUGAUGAAGAAAAUUGGUGGGAACUUAGAGAUCGAAGAGAGGGAAAUGCUAUAAUUGAGAGAACUUGACAACAUGUGUACUCUGAGAGAAGUUUAUGCACAACUUGGAAAGAUAGGAGUUGAGCUUCACUUAGUUACACGGCCUACACUUUCCCUACUCAAGAUCCAGCAAGGGUAGACCCUUUUUCGGUUUUCCGGUUAAUGAGCGCAAGGAUUUUUUUGCUACAGAUGAUUUAUGGUCCUGAGGACCCGUAAUUAACUAAUGAGUUAGUUUAUGUGGCUUGAUAGAGGUGCUUUUAGAUGUUUUUUAGUGCUUUUACUUUGUUGGUUCUUUAUUUUUGUUAUUUGACUGGCAAUGGAACUUACAGUUUGCCAUAGAACAACUUAACUGGUUAUGAUUUUUUAUGGAAUUUGAAGCUAUCUUUAAGAUCA